Molecule: non-coding RNA, 25 nt
Filed under: Rattus norvegicus (Norway rat)
Lineage: Eukaryota; Metazoa; Chordata; Mammalia; Rodentia; Muridae
Source: RNAcentral
UCUAAUUUGUAGGUAGUGUGUGUGU